UGACAAUUACUGAGUAAUUGCUUUGCUUAUUGCAUGCUAAUUGCUGAAAAUUGCUUUUUAUUUUAAAUUCCUUAGCUAAAAAUUGCUUUUUCUUUCACAUUUCUCUGCUUAUUGAAUGACUAUUGCUAACUCAUUAGAUAGAACCUACUUCUCAUAUAAGUAGGUGGAUGCGGCCUCGAUUAGCGGGGGAACCACAUGAAAAAAAGCGAGCUACUGGGUGUACCUCCUGGGUAGUUUGGAAAUCACCUAAUAUAUAUAUGUAUAUAUUUAUAAAUAAAAGUUAAUAUAUAUAAAUUAACAUUAUUUUUUUUUAACAGGAAAUGCACAAUGCUAAAAACUGCGUAGGAGAUUUUAAUACAAUAGUACUACCAAGCCUGAUGUUGGCCGCUAUUUCAAUGAAUGCAGCAGUGUGACAGCUAGCAAUCAAAAGUAACAAGAUAUCGAGGAAAUGCAGAUGGCAAUAAACUGUGUAGGAGUUCAUGAUUGCAAUAGAAUAAAAUCGACCAAGCCUGAAGUCAGCAGCCCCCCUUCAAUGAAUGCAGCAGUGUGACAGCCAGCAAUCAAAAGUUACAAGAUAUCGAGGAAAUGCAGAUGGCAAUAAAUUGUGUAGGAGUUCAUGAUUGCAAUAGAAUAAAAUCGACCAAGCCUGAAGUCAGCAGCCCCUUCAAUGAAUGCAGCAGUGUGACAGCCAACAAUCAAAAGUUACAAAAUAUCGAGGAAAUGCAGAAGGCAAAAAACUGCGUAGGAGAUCAUUAAUACAAUAGUAUUAUAUAAACCAAACCUGAUGUUGGCCGCUCAUUCAAAGAAUGCAGCAGUGUGACAGCCAGCAAUCAAAAGUAACAAGAUGUCGAGGAAAUGCAGAGUAUAAUAAACUGUGUAGGAGAUUAUGAUUGCAAUAGCAUAAAAUCGACCAAGCCUGAAGUCCUUCAAUGCACGCAGCAGUGUGACAGCCAGCAAUCAAAAGUUACAAGAUAUCGAGGAAAUACAGAAGGCAAAGAAGCAGAUGUCAUCAAAGAAGAUCUUUGUUCCUGCAAUGUUUCCGCAGACGAUACAACCAACAGAGCGAAGUGGAAGGAAAAGACUCGGAAUAAAGACCCCACCACCAUAUGGGAACAAUGCAAGGGAGAGAGAGAGAAUAUAAUGUUAUAUUUUUAUUUUUUGAUAACAUAAAAUAAACCA
Molecule: unclassified non-coding RNA, 1179 nt
Filed under: Pectinophora gossypiella (pink bollworm)
Lineage: Eukaryota; Metazoa; Arthropoda; Insecta; Lepidoptera; Gelechiidae
Description: uncharacterized LOC126381270
Source: RNAcentral